This 253-nucleotide ribosomal RNA is filed under the name uncultured bacterium. RNAcentral's name for it is "partial 16S ribosomal RNA". It matches the Rfam family "Bacterial small subunit ribosomal RNA", at positions 524 to 776 of the family's 1533-position model. The record is from RNAcentral.
AACGUAGGAGACAAACGUUAUCCGGAGUUACUGGGCGUAAAGGGCGUGUCGGUGGUAGUGUAAGUCUGGCGUGCAAUUUUUCGGCUUAACCGGGAAAGGUCGUCGGAUACUGCACAACUAGAGGACGGUAGAGGCGUGUGGAAUUCCGGGGGUAGUGGGGAAAUGCGUAGAGAUCCGGGGGAACACCAGUGGCGAAGGCGACACGCUGGGCCGUACCUGACACUGAUGCGCGACAGCAUGGGGAGCAAACAGG